Molecule: ribosomal RNA, 433 nt
Filed under: uncultured bacterium
Lineage: Bacteria
Description: partial 16S ribosomal RNA
Rfam family: Bacterial small subunit ribosomal RNA
Source: RNAcentral
AACGAACGCUGGCGGCAUGCCUAACACAUGCAAGUCGAACGAGACCUUCGGGUCUAGUGGCGCACGGGUGCGUAACGCGUGGGAACCUGCCCUUAGGUUCGGAAUAACUCCCCGAAAGGUGUGCUAAUACCGGAUAAUGUCUUCGGACCAAAGAUUUAUCGCCUUUGGAUGGGCCCGCGUUGGAUUAGCUAGUUGGUAGGGUAAAAGCCUACCAAGGCGACGAUCCAUAGCUGGUCUGAGAGGAUGACCAGCCACACUGGGACUGAGACACGGCCCAGACUCCUACGGGAGGCAGCAGUGGGGAAUAUUGGACAAUGGGCGAAAGCCUGAUCCAGCAAUGCCGCGUGAGUGAUGAAGGCCUUAGGGUUGUAAAGCUCUUUUACCCGGGAUGAUAAUGACAGUACCGGGAGAAUAAGCUCCGGCUAACUCCGUG